RNAcentral lists this long non-coding RNA (408 nucleotides) under Homo sapiens (human). RNAcentral describes it as "non-protein coding lnc-GVQW2-3:1". The record is from RNAcentral. Lineage: Eukaryota; Metazoa; Chordata; Mammalia; Primates; Hominidae.
GCUCACUGCAACCUCCACCUUCUGGAUUCAAGCGAUUCUCCUGUCUCAGCCUCCUGAGCAGCUGGGAUUACAGGUGCAUGCCACCAAGCCCGGCUAAUUUUUGUAUUUUAGUGAAGACAGGGUUUCGUCACGUUGGCCAGGCUGGUCUCAAACUCCUGACCUCAGGUGAUCCUCUGGUGCAUGUUUUAAUGGGGCCAAAAGGAGAUGACACAAGGGCAAGGGGAACCAUAGGCAUCUGUGCAACUCCUGAGUUGCAUGAAAAGGAAGACAAGUUGUUCCUCCUUUUCUCUCUCUCUCUCGCCUGCCGCCAGGUAAGAUGUGCCUGCUUCCCCUUCCACCGUGAUUGUAAGUUUCCUGAGGCCCCCCAACCCAUGCAGAACUCUGAGCCAAUUAAUGCUUUUAUAUUUA